GACUACCCGGGUAUCUAAUCCUGUUUGCUACCCACGCUUUCGUCCCUGAGGGUCAGUUGUGUGCCAGCAGACCGCCUUCGCCAUCGGUGUUCCACCUGAUAUCUACGCAUUCCACCGCUACACCAGGUGUUCCGUCUGCCCCUCACACACUCUAGCCCGCCUGUUUCCACCGCAGACCCGGGGUUGAGCCCCGGGAUUUCACGACAGACUUGGCAGGCCCCCUGCGGACCCUUUACGCCCAGUGAAUCCGAAUAACGCUCGCCACCUACGUAUUACCGCGGCUGCUGGCACGUAGUUAGCCGUGACUUCCUCUCCCGGUACCGUCAUUGUUUUCGUCCCGGGUGACAGAGGUUUACAACCCGAAGGCCUUCUUCCCUCACGCGGCAUCGCUCCGUCAGGCUUGCGCCCAUUGCGGAAGAUUCUCGACUGCAGCCCCCCGUAGG
Molecule: ribosomal RNA, 443 nt
Filed under: uncultured bacterium
Lineage: Bacteria
Description: partial 16S ribosomal RNA
Source: RNAcentral